AUGAAGCCACUCAAAGAGGAAGACUCAAGAAGACUAUUUUUUAGUAGGGUAUCUCGGCCCGAAAAUGUCUGCCUACCACAGUUUAAAGAAGUUUCAGCUCAAAUCCUCAAGAAGUGUGGCGGAUUGCCACUUGCAAUUAUCACCAUAGCUGGCCUAUUAGCUAGCCGUGAAGCAAGGCCAUUGAGUGAAUGGGAGAGCAUAAAGAAUUCUCUUGGCGCCAAGUCUGCAACAAUACCUAUCUUGGAAGAGAUGAGGGGUAUACUGAACCUUAGCUACAUGCAUCUUCCUGUUUAUCUUCGGCCAUGUUUUUUGUACCUUGGCAUGUAUCCGGAAGACCGUCUGAUUCUGACGGAUGACCCAGUUCGGCAAUGGAUAGCCGAAGGCUUUGUUUGUAGUUCACACGGAGCAGAUUUGGAUGAUGUUGCGGAAAGUUAUUUCAAUGAGCUUGUCAAUAGAAGUCUGAUUCAGCCCAUAGAUACAUGUCAUGGGAAAGUAGUUACUUGCAGAGUACAUGAUAUGAUGCUUGAUUUGACCCUAAGCAAGAGUAAAGAAGAUAAUUUUAUCAAUGUAGCAUAUAACUAUGAAGACAUGGUAAGAUCGUGCAAUUCUGAGUACAAGGUUCGUCGAUUAUCCCUCCAAUCAUGUGUAGGUGGUGCAAAGUCGGAGGCCCUUGCUACUAGCAUGGCACACGUUCGAUCAUAUGCACGGUGGCCAAAGUCCCAAUACACACCUCCCCUUUCACAGUUUAAGUAUCUACGGGUGCUUGCCUUUGAGUCCCCGCAUGGUUUGGAAACGACAGUUGACCUCACUGCAAUCGGCCAUUUGAUUUUACUGAGAGAUUUAAAUGUUUCAGCCCCAGGAGAAGUCAUAGCGCUCCCGACAGAAAUUCAAGGGCUUGUGCAUUUGCUAACCUUGGUGAUAGAUUGCAAGCGGGCUCAAAGCUUUCCUUUAGACAUAAGUUGUUUGGCCAACUUGCUUCAUUUGGUGCUUCCAUAUGGUGUAGGGUUGCCUGAAGGGAUCAAGAAGAUGAAAUCAAUCCGCACCCUGAAAUGUUGGGAUAUGUCGGAGAGUUCGCUGGAAGAUAUCAAAGGCCUUGGUGAGCUGACCAAUCUGAAGGAAUUGCACUUAAGCACUUGGAGCAAGUGCUUCACCUUGGAACAAGAGGAUGCUUUGGUCUCCUCGCUCCGAAUGCUCCAAGGCCUCAAGGGGAUCGGUUGGACUCAAGGAUGCAGUGCCCCUGACAACAAGAUAGUUGAACUAAUUAGAGGAGGUACUCGAUGUGCUCAAAUGGAAGAUUAG
Molecule: ribosomal RNA, 1299 nt
Filed under: Triticum aestivum (bread wheat)
Lineage: Eukaryota; Viridiplantae; Streptophyta; Magnoliopsida; Poales; Poaceae
Description: partial small subunit ribosomal RNA
Source: RNAcentral